This 393-nucleotide ribosomal RNA is filed under the name uncultured bacterium. RNAcentral's name for it is "partial 16S ribosomal RNA". It matches the Rfam family "Bacterial small subunit ribosomal RNA", at positions 523 to 918 of the family's 1533-position model. The record is from RNAcentral.
AUACGGAGGAUGCAAGCGUUAUCCGGAUUUAUUGGGUUUAAAGGGUGCGUAGGCGGGACUGUAAGUCAGGGGGGAAAUACUGCAGCUUAACUGUAGCAUUGCCUUUGAAACUGCCGUUCUUGAGUACAGUUGAGGUAGGCGGAAUGUGGUGUGUAGCGGUGAAAUGCAUAGAUAUACCACAGAACGCCGAUUGCGAAGGCAGCUUACUAAGCUGUUACUGACGCUGAGGCACGAAAGCGUGGGGAUCAAACAGGAUUAGAUACCCUGGUAGUCCACGCUGUAAACGAUGAUUACUGGUUGUUAGCGAUAUAUAGCUAGUGACUGAGCGAAAGCAUUAAGUAAUCCACCUGGGGAGUACGUCGGCAACGAUGAAACUCAAAUGAAUUGGCGGGG